AGUGUGUGAGAGCAGCUGCUUACACAUGGAGACCUGAGCCGAACGUCACUACUCUGAAUGAUCACUUGGACUGUGCGCUUGGAUUUUUCUGGGGACAUUUGCCUGAAAUGUAACGAAAUAAGACAGAAAUGGAGAGGAAUGGAAACCAUACUAUGAGGAUGAAAAUAUGCCAGUGUUCAGCACAUGUGAAACAUUAAAAACUGAGUUUGAAUGAUGGCCGAGUGGCUUCUGUGGAAGAAUGGCCCCCUGUUGGAGUCGUUAUCUGUGGCAUUAUUCUGGCAGAGCGAUGGGCUGGACCCUGGAAGGGACAGCUGAGUCAUUUGGCAGAGACCGGCGAGCCAAUUGGUCAGGGAAGUUAUGAGGACAACACUAGAUUUGUGACCACCUUACAGCACUGCCCCCCCCCUGCAAGACAAAAAUCAUUACCAGCUAAUAGCCCCUACCUAAUGUAUAGCACUCUAUGUUGUUUUAUGGCUAAAAUAAAUCACAAUAAAACGACAUGGCAGUGCUAUCUUGUUGAUUUGUAACUAUUUGGAGCGAAAAC
Molecule: long non-coding RNA, 544 nt
Organism: Sinocyclocheilus anshuiensis
Lineage: Eukaryota; Metazoa; Chordata; Actinopteri; Cypriniformes; Cyprinidae
Exons: 3
Source: RefSeq, a predicted model, not a curated record